This 212-nucleotide long non-coding RNA is filed under the name Elaeis guineensis (African oil palm). RNAcentral's name for it is "long non-coding RNA (EGUI_LNC045239)". The record is from RNAcentral. Lineage: Eukaryota; Viridiplantae; Streptophyta; Magnoliopsida; Arecales; Arecaceae.
GUGGCUAGAGAUCCACUAUUUCGAGAACUAGAUACCAUCUGUAAUCAGAUUUAUUUUUCUUGAUAUAUUUUUUUAUAUUUGAAUUUGAUGUAAUAAAAUAUAAAAUCCUUUUAUUCUGAAUAUUUAGAUAUUUUUCUUUAGAUUUUCCUCCUUUGAAUAGCCUAUACUAAGUGGGGAUAAGCCGUGAUCUAUGGGUACGGUUUGUACUCUCU